UACGUAGGGUGCAAGCGUUAAUCGGAAUUACUGGGCGUAAAGCGUGCGCAGGCGGUUAUUUAAGUCAGAUGUGAAAGCCCCGGGCUUAACCUGGGAAUUGCGUUUGAAACUAAAUGACUAGAGUCUGUCAGAGGGGGGUGGAAUUCCACGUGUAGCAGUGAAAUGCGUAGAGAUGUGGAGGAACACCAAUGGCGAAGGCAGCCCCCUGGGUUAACACUGACGCUCAGGCACGAAAGCGUGGGGAGCAAACAGG
Molecule: ribosomal RNA, 253 nt
Filed under: uncultured bacterium
Lineage: Bacteria
Description: partial 16S ribosomal RNA
Rfam family: Bacterial small subunit ribosomal RNA
Source: RNAcentral